Molecule: long non-coding RNA, 230 nt
Filed under: Elaeis guineensis (African oil palm)
Lineage: Eukaryota; Viridiplantae; Streptophyta; Magnoliopsida; Arecales; Arecaceae
Description: long non-coding RNA (EGUI_LNC007996)
Source: RNAcentral
GUGGGGUAGGUGUAGGCUAAAGGGGUAAAGUACUCCUUCAAUUGGCAUGGUGGAUCAGUCUCAUGGUGUGGGUUUAUGGUUCUAACUCCAGUUGCUCUAAUGAUUUUCUCGAUUUCUGGAUCUAAAGGUUGUAAUUCUAGUUGUAAUGGUCUACGACCAAGCAUAUACCCAUAAUCUAUGUAUUUGAAAUAGUUUUUUUCUUUUCAAAGAAGGAGGAGAGGAGAAGAGGA